GGAGAGAUGGCUGAGUGGUCGAAAGCACCGGUCUUGAAAACCGGCGACGGUUAGUAGCCGUCCUAGGGUUCGAAUCCCUAUCUCUCCG
This 88-nucleotide transfer RNA is filed under the name Umboniibacter marinipuniceus. It matches the Rfam family "tRNA". From Rfam's summary of the family: Transfer RNA (tRNA) molecules are approximately 80 nucleotides in length. Their secondary structure includes four short double-helical elements and three loops (D, anti-codon, and T loops). Further hydrogen bonds mediate the characteristic L-shaped molecular structure. tRNAs have two regions of fundamental functional importance: the anti-codon, which is responsible for specific mRNA codon recognition, and the 3' end, to which the tRNAs corresponding amino acid is attached (by aminoacyl-tRNA synthetases). tRNAs cope with the degeneracy of the genetic code in two manners: having more than one tRNA (with a specific anti-codon) for a particular amino acid; and 'wobble' base-pairing, i.e. permitting non-standard base-pairing at the 3rd anti-codon position. Lineage: Bacteria; Pseudomonadati; Pseudomonadota; Gammaproteobacteria; Cellvibrionales; Cellvibrionaceae. The record is from Rfam by way of RNAcentral.